GAAGAAGACGGAGAAUGAAGAAGGGACGC
RNAcentral lists this small RNA (29 nucleotides) under Arabidopsis thaliana (thale cress). Its description in RNAcentral is "ATSL112780". The record is from RNAcentral. Lineage: Eukaryota; Viridiplantae; Streptophyta; Magnoliopsida; Brassicales; Brassicaceae.